GACGAACGCUGGCGGCGUGCCUAAUACAUGCAAGUAGAACGCUGAAGAGAGGAGCUUGCUCUUCUUGGAUGAGUUGCGAACGGGUGAGUAACGCGUAGGUAACCUGCCUUGUAGCGGUGGAUAACUAUUGGAAACGAUAGCUAAUACCGCAUAACAAUGGAUGACACAUGUCAUUUAUUUGAAAGGGGCAAUUGUUCCACUACAAGAUGGACCUGCGUUGUAUUAGCUAGUAGGUGAGGUAAUGGCUCACCUAGGCGACGAUACAUAGCCGACCUGAGAGGGUGAUCGGCCAAACUGGGACUGAGACACGGCCCAGACUCCUACGGGAGGCAGCAGUAGGGAAUCUUCGGCAAUGGGGGCAACCCUGACCGAGCAACGCCGCGUGAGUGAAGAAGGUUUUCGGAUCGUAAAGCUCUGUUGUAAGUCAAGAACGGGUGUGAGAGUGGAAAGUUCACACUGUGACGGUAGCUUAACAGAAAGGGACGGCUAACUACGUG
Molecule: ribosomal RNA, 497 nt
Filed under: uncultured bacterium
Lineage: Bacteria
Description: partial 16S ribosomal RNA
Rfam family: Bacterial small subunit ribosomal RNA
Source: RNAcentral